This 352-nucleotide ribosomal RNA is filed under the name uncultured Racocetra. RNAcentral's name for it is "SSU rRNA". It matches the Rfam family "Eukaryotic small subunit ribosomal RNA", at positions 569 to 929 of the family's 1831-position model. The record is from RNAcentral. Lineage: Eukaryota; Fungi; Glomeromycota; Glomeromycetes; Diversisporales; Gigasporaceae.
AGCAGCCGCGGUAAUUCCAGCUCCAAUAGCGUAUAUUAAAGUUGUUGCAGUUAAAAAGCUCGUAGUUGAAUUUCGGGGUUCUACCGUUGGUCGGGCUUUGUCUGUACUGGCGUGUAGAAUUUCUACCUUCUGGGGAACCGUCAUGUUAUUAAUUUAACGUGGUGGGAAACCAGGACCUUUACCUUGAAAAAAUUAGAGUGUUCAAAGCAGGCUUAUGUCUGAAUACAUUAGCAUGGAAUAAUAAAAUAGGGCGGUGGUCCUGUUUUGUUGGUUUCUGAAUCACCGUAAUGAUUAAUAGGGAUAGUUGGGGGCAUUAGUAUUCAAUUGUCAGAGGUGAAAUUCUUGGAUGUAU